AUGUUCAUCGCCACACUUUUCAUUUGUGUUACCAUCUUGGAAAAAUAAGUCUCGAAAAAUUUUCAUUUAUAAGUAUUAAUAUAUAAUAAUAAUAAAUUAAUUCUUAAUUUUAAUAAAUCUUUACAGUUCAUCUCGGCUAAUAUUUUCUUGUUAAUUAAAAUAUAAGAAUUAACUUUUAUAAAGGAUUAAUUAUAUCAUGUGGAAUUUUGAAUUAUAAUAUUUAAUUAAAUGGCAUAUAUGUGCAAGAACGGGGUAAGAAUGUAUCGAAUUCCUAAUAUUGUGGAUUAGACAUUAAUAGUCUCGCGGAAGUAAAAAUUCUCGCCAUUUAUUUCAAUUCACGUAUUCAUUUUUUCCAAUAAAUAAAUCUCGAAAGCUUUAAUUCUUUUUAAUUUUAGAUGCGUACGUAAUUGCAGAAUCUAUUUUUAAAUCGUGCUUUAAUUGCAACUUAACUUUGUUAGAGUUGAAAAGGUAUGUAGGAAUCAAAAUUUAAAUAUAUUAAUAAAAAAGGUGAAAAGAAAUCUUGACGAGAGAGAACCAGUUUUUUAACGUCUUUUGGUUUAAUUGCCGGUUUUCCGUACCGUCUCUUUCAUUCUUUCUUUCGCCCUGUCUCUUUUGUGUUCUCUUCCUCUCUCCCAUUCUUUAUAUAUUGUCGCCGACAAUUGAAUUUUACUUCCGUGUCGCGUGAAUUCACUACAUCUGGCAUUUGCAUUCUACACUCGACUCACAUUAUAAGGUACUUAAGUCGCUAUAAAUACGCAUUUUCUUAUGCGUAAAAUUCGCUGAAAUACAUUGAGGAAACACUGACUGCGCAAUUGAAAGAGAAGAAAUGAGGGGGAAGCAUCUCGUUAAUAUAAAAUAUCAAUUUUACUUUACGAACUUUUUUUUCAGCUUUACUUUUUAUUUUUGUUAUCGCAUGAUGCAUUCACGAUGUUACUACGAACUCAUAAUUUAUAAAGUCCAUAUAUGUACGAAAGAUUUACGACGAAGCAGAAGAGCUUUGCCGACUUUAAUAAUAAAGUUCGCGUUCAUCGAUAAUCGGAAAUAUUAUUGAAUUAAUUGAAUUAAAUUCUAUUUCUAGACGGAUUUACCGAAUCACCGAUAGACUCUCUUUAAGAGUGGCUUCAAUGAAUAACCAAUAGUAACCGUUGUAUUGAUGUCGCAGAACGGGCUAUCUCUAACAAGUGGUCCAUUGUUACCCUACAUAGCUGAAAGAGGUCUCCGUCUUUCUUCUACUUUAUCCUUCUUCCGGUACAUGCAAAGUACGGCCGUGAACAUGUUGUGAAUGGUCACAAAUUCUUAAACGUUCAGAAACAACGAUGAAAGAUUGCAAGACGUUUUAUGAAAAGAAAAACGAAGGAAAAUAUCUUAAUAAGCUGUAUGGGAAAAGUCCAAUGCUCCUACAUUAAUCCUUAAUGACUCCUACAUUAAUCGUGGUUUUUUAAAAUCAAGAGAAGUUUAGGACCUCAUGCAUUUUUGUCUCGCUUCUCUCUGCGAAGAAAAGGAUUAAAUUUUUAUUUUUAUCGAAUAAGAAAUUUAUGCGGCGAUUCUCCACGUAUAUACGGCUCUCGGUGCAACUCCGCCUGACAACAGCGAAUUCAAUUAGGAUUGCGCGGCGGCCGUACAAAAACAUUCGAUCAGGAAUAAACCGGCAGCCUGCCUGCCUCGCGGACGCUCUCUUACAACUCGUCUCGCUUUCCCGUUCGUGGACCAUGUAUAUAACGCGUACAGGUUGGCGUUAUCGAUUGUACAUUUUAUCGCCGGAAAGUCUUCGCCAUAGAUAUUUUCGACAGGAUGCGCAAACAAUUUUUAUACAUGUCAUAGAAUGAUCAUCAUUUUCUUCGCGAAAAUUCUUUAAUCGUAAUCUUAUCUCGUAACGAAAGUUUUUGUAUCUUCUCGAAAAAUAAAUUUCACAAAAAUUUUCUCUAGAUUUUCACGUAUGUGAUCUAAAAUCGAACAAGCAAUUUUAAAACGAGAGAAUAUGGGAUGUAUACGGAAUAUUUCUAUACAAAUAAAAUAUUUUUGUCUCGCUAGUUUAAGAUGCAAUUUUCGCUCCUUUCGAAUGUACAUAGCCAUGGAUUCUCAAGAUUUGAAUUUUUAUCUUUAUUUUUGUACAAAGACUCGAAUGAAGAAUUGCCAUUCGAUGCACGCGCGGAUUGCAGUUAUAUUUCUACGGCCCCGAUCACAUCUCCCUUUAUUCUCCCUCGAUCUUUUAUUCGUCUGUGGCGCAAACCGCGACGAGGGAGAGAAAGAAAGGAUCCAGAGUAGCUUGCAGAAGACCGAGAGAACACAGACGCAAAAAAACCCGUCUGGCAUAAUUACAUUAUCGAUCAUCACAUGUUGCUCGAUUUCUGCGUUCGCAGUUAACGAAUUUAUCCGAAUUUAAGACGAGCUUCUAUUUAUAGAGAAAGCAUAACGCAAUUAUUUUUCAGAAUAAUUUUAGGCAAACCGAUAUAUAUUAUCAUUUUUAUAAAAAUUAAUAAAAUAAACAAUGUAAUUUUUGUACAUAGAAUAUACGUAUUAUUUUUGUUUUACAUUCCUUUUUGAAGAGAAUUCUAAAUUAUUUAUAAAAUACUCUUGAAAUACUAUGUAGAAAUUAAUAUAACAAAUUAAAUGUUAUAUAUUAAAUUAAAUUGUAUAUUAAAGCUUUAUGGCUGGAAAAAUGACGAAUGAGGGAAAUCGCUAUUUGGACUGGAUUUAUUGAAUAUAAAAAUCGAUGGAUGGAUUCGAUACAAUGCUCCUCUUUGUAGAUUUCCUCUUCGUUUAUUCUUUUCUUUUUUUUUAAUUUCAUUGACAUGAGAGUUAUGCGGGCAAAUGUCGAAAUGCGCAUCGAUGCACGUAUUGUGAAUGAGAGAGUAAACUUAAAAGAUAUAAUUAUAUUCGCACAUAUAAUAUAAUGAUCUCCGAUUUUGGUAUCUCGCUGCUUUCACGAAGAGACGAGAAAAUUUCUCUACAGGGUGGUCCAUCCAAUCGCGCGAUAUUUGAUAGCUCAUUUGUGUAUUGAGGACGAAAGAUUGCAUGAUGAAAGUUAGGCCAGUUUUGUGCCUUCUUAUAUCAAUGCGCAACUUUUUCUACAUAAGCAAUUUCCUCUUCGCAAUACAUUCUAGUCGAGUUAAAUUCGAAGCAUUAUCAAAGGUGGAUGGAGCGCCCUGUGUGCGCAUAUUUCUAGAACUCUGCGGUUUUUUAAAUCUCGUAGAAAAAUUAUGUCUAAAAUUGUGACGGCCGAUGCGAUGGGAAUGCGCUUUCUAUAAU
Molecule: long non-coding RNA, 3249 nt
Organism: Cataglyphis hispanica
Lineage: Eukaryota; Metazoa; Arthropoda; Insecta; Hymenoptera; Formicidae
Exons: 2
Source: RefSeq, a predicted model, not a curated record